CUAACGUUAGUCCGGCUAACGUUCGGUCGGCUAACGUUCGGUCGGCUAACGUUCGUGCCGCCAACGUUUGG
This 71-nucleotide transfer RNA is filed under the name Paractinoplanes tereljensis. RNAcentral describes it as "Actinoplanes tereljensis tRNA-Val". Lineage: Bacteria; Bacillati; Actinomycetota; Actinomycetes; Micromonosporales; Micromonosporaceae. The record is from RNAcentral.